UUGGUGAGUGUGUGUGUGUGUGUGUGUGUGUGUGUGUGUGUGUGUGUGUGUGUGUGGUCCUGUUUAACUAUAUUCAUGGGGUCC
Molecule: long non-coding RNA, 84 nt
Organism: Etheostoma spectabile (orangethroat darter)
Lineage: Eukaryota; Metazoa; Chordata; Actinopteri; Perciformes; Percidae
Exons: 2
Source: RefSeq, a predicted model, not a curated record